This 495-nucleotide ribosomal RNA is filed under the name uncultured bacterium. RNAcentral's name for it is "partial 16S ribosomal RNA". It matches the Rfam family "Bacterial small subunit ribosomal RNA", at positions 28 to 507 of the family's 1533-position model. The record is from RNAcentral.
GACGAACGCUGGCGGCGUGCCUAAUACAUGCAUGUAGAACGCUGAAGGAGGAGCUUGCUUCUCUGGAUGAGUUGCGAACGGGUGAGUAACGCGUAGGUAACCUGCCUGGUAGCGGGGGAUAACUAUUGGAAACGAUAGCUAAUACCGCAUAAGAGUAGAUGUUGCAUGACAUUUGCUUAAAAGGUGCAAUUGCAUCACUACCAGAUGGCCCUGCGUUGUAUUAGCUAGUUGGUGGGGUAACGGCUCACCAAGGCGAAGAUACAUAGCCGACCUGAGAGGGGGAGCGGCCACACUGGGACUGAGACACGGCCCAGACGCCUACGGGAGGCAGCAGGAGGGAAUCUUCGGCAAUGGACGGAAGUCUGACCGAGCAACGCCGCGUGAGUGAAGAAGGUUUUCGGAUCGUAAAGCUCGGUUGUAAGAGAAGAACGAGUGUGAGAGUGGAAAGUUCACACUGUGACGGUAUCUUACCAGAAAGGGAGGGCUAACUACGUG